CAGCAAUAGAGCUGUCCACAAAUUCCAGUAUGGAAACUUCAAUUCUAGAUCCUAUCACUGGAGAAGGGAGGAGCUGGGCACUGUCAUAUUAAGCAGGAUCUCUUGAAUCUCCUGAAUUUCUCUAACUGAAGCCAGGACAAGCUGGAGAGCCUACAGAAGCAGCUGUUGCAACUGUCUUGCACAACAACUUUAGCUGCUGUGUUCUGUCCUCAGUGUCCUGGGGGGCAGGAGGUCCUUGUGAACAUGUGCUCUUUAAAUGCUUCCCUGAUCCAGCCUUAGCUCUACACUCUCUGCUGUGGCACUCAGGACACUUGGACCUAGAGAAACACAAGUUCCUUGUCAUGACUAUUUUACAACAUAAUACAGAAACCUCAGAUUCUGGUCCCAUUUUAAGCCAAAAGAAAGAAAAAUGUGCACUUUUGUGGUUAAUAGUUUACUUGAAGUUUCAUCUCUCAGGCAGCUUUUCACUAAGCUCUCAACACUUAGUAAGCAUUUUUUAAACUCCUACUACGUGCCAGGCACCAUGCCAAGGAUGCAAAGUCAAAACAGUCCUUGUCCUCUAGGAGCUCAUAAUCUAGCACCAUCAUCUGAUGUGCAUAUUGUCAAAAUGAAGUCUAGUACCCCACAGUAGCCAUUAACCUCCUAUUGGCUGAACAACGGCUAAGCCAAUAAUAACAAGAAUGAAAACGUCUGAGCCAACUGUCUGCUUUUCUGUGAGUAAGUUCAAACAUUGCACCAGGAGAAGUUGGCAACUUCAGUCAGUCCUACUUCACGUGAACUCAAGCAGGAGAGCUGGAAAUAGCAAAUGUUAAAAAAUUAUAAUUGUUCUUCAACUACUUCAUCUUUUCCCCUUUGUCAGACAUUUUAUACAAAUAAGAGUAUCUCUUGGUGAUUGAGAAAAUAAAGUCCUUGGGCUGGUUGAAGGCUUGUAAAA
Long non-coding RNA from Phascolarctos cinereus (koala), 934 nucleotides. RefSeq lists it as uncharacterized. The record is from RefSeq and is a predicted model, not a curated record. NCBI's taxonomy places the organism in Eukaryota, Metazoa, Chordata, Mammalia, Diprotodontia, Phascolarctidae.